GUGGGGAAUAUUGGGCAAUGGAGGCAACUCUGACCCAGCAACGCCGCGUGAAGGAAGAAGGCCUUAGGGUUGUAAACUUAUGUUGUAAAGGAAGAAAAGAAUGACGGUACUUUACAAGAAAGCCCCGGCUAACUAUGUGCCAGCAGCCGCGGUAAGACAUAGGGGGCAAGCGUUGUUCGGAAUUACUGGGCGUAAAGGGAGCGUAGGCGGGAGAUUAAGUUAAGAGUGAAAGCCUUGGGCUCAACCCAAGAAAUGCUCUUAAUACUGGUUUUCUAGAGUGUGGGAGAGGUAAGUGGAAUUCCUAGUGUAGCGGUAGAAUGCGUAGAGAUUAGGAGGAACAUCAGAGGCGAAGGCGGCUUACUGGACCAUAACUGACGCUGAGGCUCGAAAGCGUGGGGAGCAAACAGGA
This 409-nucleotide ribosomal RNA is filed under the name uncultured bacterium. RNAcentral describes it as "bacterial SSU rRNA". It matches the Rfam family "Bacterial small subunit ribosomal RNA", at positions 354 to 777 of the family's 1533-position model. The record is from RNAcentral.